RNAcentral lists this transfer RNA (73 nucleotides) under Actinomycetota bacterium. Its description in RNAcentral is "Actinobacteria bacterium tRNA-Val". It matches the Rfam family "tRNA". Rfam says of the family: Transfer RNA (tRNA) molecules are approximately 80 nucleotides in length. Their secondary structure includes four short double-helical elements and three loops (D, anti-codon, and T loops). Further hydrogen bonds mediate the characteristic L-shaped molecular structure. tRNAs have two regions of fundamental functional importance: the anti-codon, which is responsible for specific mRNA codon recognition, and the 3' end, to which the tRNAs corresponding amino acid is attached (by aminoacyl-tRNA synthetases). tRNAs cope with the degeneracy of the genetic code in two manners: having more than one tRNA (with a specific anti-codon) for a particular amino acid; and 'wobble' base-pairing, i.e. permitting non-standard base-pairing at the 3rd anti-codon position. Lineage: Bacteria; Bacillati; Actinomycetota. The record is from RNAcentral.
GCGUGUGUGGCGUAAUGGCAGCGUAUUUACUCUUACCAAGUCGAAGGAGCGGGUUCGAUUCCCGCCGCACGCU